CUACGUAAAGAAAAGGGGGGGUAUGAAAUAUCCAUAGUUGAUGCAUCAGAUGGACGCCAAGUGAUUGAUAUUAUACCUCCCGGACCAGAACUUCUUGUUUCAGAGGGGGAAUCCAUCAAGCUUGAUCAACCAUUAACAAGCAAUCCUAAUGUGGGAGGUUUUGGUCAGGGGGACGCAGAAAUCAUGCUGAUCUACGAGGUUCAGUAA
This 207-nucleotide ribosomal RNA is filed under the name Triticum aestivum (bread wheat). Its description in RNAcentral is "partial small subunit ribosomal RNA". Lineage: Eukaryota; Viridiplantae; Streptophyta; Magnoliopsida; Poales; Poaceae. The record is from RNAcentral.